Rhipicephalus sanguineus (brown dog tick) is the source of this 360-nucleotide long non-coding RNA. RefSeq lists it as uncharacterized. The record is from RefSeq and is a predicted model, not a curated record. The transcript has 3 exons. NCBI's taxonomy places the organism in Eukaryota, Metazoa, Arthropoda, Arachnida, Ixodida, Ixodidae.
UGGCAGCUUUCCUACAUGAUCGUCACACUAAUCUAGAUACUAACCCACAGACAAAUGCCAUGAAUUUAGACGUCGCGAAAGCAUUCGGGCACCUCAAGCGACAAACUCGGUACAUCAGUUCAUCAUCACGGUGAACGAGAUACACUGAGCCACGGCUGAAUAAGACCGUGCAUAUGUGGAUGCAAGGGAGCGUGUUAGUGUCGAAUUGUUCACCCAAAUUGACAAAUUCUGUUACAUGCCACUGGCGAUUUUUCAUAUUUCUGUUGACUUUAAUAGAACGGACGCUUACAUACUAAUAAAUACUGGUUGUGCUAACCACUGAACAUUAUUGGAAAAUAUUUUUUGAAAGAUGAUUUUCAA